CCUGGGCCUUGGGGAGUCUACACAGCUUUCUUCCUCUCCCCAGACACUUCCAAAGUAAAAACCUGAAACAGUACAACUAAGGAAUCAUCAGCUAUCAGACACAUACGUAUUCAGCCACUAUUUAUUGAGCACCUACUAUGUGCCAGGCUGGUGACCAAGGAGAGACAUGGUCCCUGCUCUCGAAGGCUUGCAGUCCAUUGGAAGAUGUCAACACCCCUCCAUCCCCCCCAGGUCAGGGCUCUGGCAGAAAGAUGCCUGACCCAGCUGGAAGGAGGUGAGAGAGGACAGAGGGAACGGCGAGGGCAAAGGCUCUUGGCGGAAGGCAGCAAGGGAAGUGGGGGGCCCUCGGUGUGGUGGGGCAAAAUGAGAAUCAGACGGGAGCCCAGGGUGAGGCCCUGCAGGUCCCCAGGGGUUCUGAGUCGCUCCCUGACAGCUUAACGGGAAGGGCAGCCCUCCCCACAGUCACAGAAGUGCACGAUUCCCAGUCCACGCCCCUUUCUGGUCUGUGUGCCUUCUAGAACACUGGACACUGUGGGGGCCCAGGGCUGGGUGGAUGGACAGAUGCUGCUGCUCGCGGCCAUUCAGGCAGGGCCUGCAAGGAAGGGCUGUGCAUCCUAAUGAGCCUGCCCCACCUGUCCUCUCUCUGCAGUCUCCGAAGAGGAGCAGAUGGGGCUGUGGGCAGGUGGGGCUUAGCUCCCACUUGAAUCCCUAGGGGUGGUCAAGGACUCUGAGCAGCCACUCAGUCCCGGGGGGAGGGGGGUGCUGCCCACUCCCCAUCAGCUCCCCGCUGAGGGCUGAGGCAGGGCCCAAAGGCUCUCACAGCCAAAAGAAGAGUCCUGACCCAGUGCCCAAGGACCCCACCCCCAGGGACCCGGGCUUCCUGUGCAGCCUCCUCGGAGAGGGAGGAAGAAGUGCCCUCACACUGUCCUCUGUCUCUCUCGGCCACCCCGGAGGCCCAGGAGGCCAGCCUCCAUCCUCAAGCGGGCCCAGUCCCAGCACCCACAUCCUUGCCUCAGGGAGCGCCUGGCCUGAUGGCAACGCAGGACGCGUGACCCGGCACCCUCUCCGCCCACACUGCCCUCUUCCCCAGGGCAGCCCUUGUUCUGGCCCUGAGCAGGGUCCAGGGUGGGAGAGGCUGACCCAGAACAGAGGCUGCAGGAGCCAAGUCCAAGGCACCAGCCGCAGGGACUAAGAAUGAAAGCAGGAUCCCGGCAGACCCCAGGCCUGUGCCCUCAGUUCUCAUGGUCUAGAGACAAAGCCACCUGACAGCGGCCACACGCAGGCCUCCACCUCUGGCCUCCUCUCACUCAUUGAUGGGUUUGCUUGUUUACUGUCCAACCCCACACAAGACCAGAAGCUCCACGGCGUUUGCACUCCCGGCCUAGGGCAACCCUAGGCUCACAGUCAGCGGCUGGUAAAUAUUUACUGAGCACUUGCUAUGUGCCAAGCCUUGUUCCAGGCAUGCGGGCCACAUCAGGGAACAAAACCGUCAUGGCCCCUGCCCAGGUAGAGCUUCCAUUCCGAAGAUGAAGAAACGUCAGCCAUGGGAGCAGAGAGGAAAGUUUCUGGAAUUGCCAGCAGAGCAGGAAAAAUUUCAUCUUCAGAUGUCGAUGGACUGAAUCUGCACUCAGCACUGAGCCUUGAACCAUGGGUCCAGGUGCACGCGGACGGAACCGAGUGUAUUCACAGCUUUGCAAACCUACCCCCACUCUCCCAGCUGCCUUAUGUCCCUCCCAGGCCUGAGCCUUCCUGAGUCCUGGAGCCUGGGAUGCCCACCCUGCUCUGGGUUGGGCUAAGUCUGACCCUUCCCUCCCAGAACUAAGGCAAGGCCCCGAAGCUCCAGGAAACCUCCCUGCACGGCUCAGUGCCCUGGCGGCGGGGGCUCCUCUGUGCUCCCCCAUCACCCAGUGCUGUCGUUGUGAAUUGGCUCAGCCUGCCUACUGAUCUCAACCGUCCCCAGCUUGAGGGCAGCUCUGAGCCAGGCGGCUCCCAGGGCCCAGCACGGCUUAGGAGCGCCCUCAACGUUACGGGAUCAUAGUGGAUAACAAAUGGACACCAGCAGUCCUUGACCGACAGAACGAACCGUCCGGGGCCAGGAUUGCACACCACCAGCCUGAGAAGAAAUCGCGCCCACA
Dasypus novemcinctus (nine-banded armadillo) is the source of this 2135-nucleotide long non-coding RNA. The record is from Ensembl. Lineage: Eukaryota; Metazoa; Chordata; Mammalia; Cingulata; Dasypodidae.